Molecule: long non-coding RNA, 1303 nt
Filed under: Chrysemys picta bellii (western painted turtle)
Lineage: Eukaryota; Metazoa; Chordata; Testudines; Emydidae
Description: lncRNA (ENSCPBG00000006395.1)
Source: RNAcentral
UCCGCCCGCGCCCAUUGGCCGGCUGCCUCCGCGCGGGGCAGGCUGGUAGACGGAGUCCGUUAGACGGCCCGAACGAGGCGGGCGGCCAUGUUGGGUGAGGGCAGCUGGGGGCGGGGCUAAUCCGAGGCCGGGAUGGAGAGAAGCCCCGCCUCGCGGUGGAGUGACGUCAUCGCCAGAUGGGGACGUCACCACGCGGUGAGUUGCUGUCCAGCUUCCCCAGCAUUGGCUCCAGCUGUGUGUGCUGAUUCCAGCCAGGCCUUGUGUCACAGCUCCCCAGGAUCAGUGCUACGCCAUAGCUUCUAAACAGCCCCAGGAGGAGACACUUCAGCCUGCCAGACCCCCAGGGGGAGCCACAGAGCCUCACCAUCUGGGUCUACACUCAAAAGUAAGGUUGACCCAGCUCCGUGGCUCAAGGGUAUGAGAAAUCCACACCCCUGCUGGGCACAGGUAAGCCGUCCUAACCCCCAGUGCAGACAGCGCUAGGUCCACGGGAGAAUUCGUCCAUCCACCUAGCUACCACCUCUCGGGGAGAGGGAUUGCGCAGAGUCCCCUGCUGCUGUAGUGAGGGGCUACACUGCAGCGGUGAAGACAUAGCCUGAGCCUCUGGGCUCCCUCCCUCCUGCGAGCUCUGCCCAGCGAGUGCCGCUGAGCCAGACUCCUGGGAGAUCUUGUGCGCACUGCAGGGAUUCAUGCACCCAGCAUAGAUUUACAGGGCUACCGAGUGGCAUCCAGCCUAGGAAGUCCUUAGCUUAACACAGAGAGCUGAGGUUCAAGCAGAGCCCAUUCUGGCCCCGCUGAGCUGUAGGGAAUGUGUUCAGGAUCUGUGUGUCUCUCUGACUUCCUCAGUCGUUCCCAAGUGAGAGCCCCAAGCUUUCUUCCAGACCCAGAAUCCCACACUUAGUCUCAGUCCCAGUCCUCUGUUCUCCAGUUGGGGUCUGUGCCCAGCUUCCCUGCUCCCAGUGUCAUUCCAGGACUCAUAGAAUCAUAGAAUAUCAGGGUUGGAAGGGACCUCAGGAGGUCAUCUAGUCCAACCCCCUGCUCAAAGCGGGACCAACACCAAUUAAAUCAUCCCAGCCAAGGGUUUAUCAAGCCAGGCCUUGAAAACCUCUAAGGAUGGAGAUUCCACCACCUCCCUCGGUAACCCAUUCCAGUGCUUCACCACCCUCCUAAUGAAAUAAUGUUUCCUAAUAUCCAACCUAGACCUCCCCCACUGCAACUGGAGACCAUUGCUCCUUGUUCUGUCAUCUGGUACCACUGAGAACAGCUGCACUCCAUCCUCUUUGGAACCCACCUUCAGGUAGUU